AAAUUGAAGAGUUUGAUCAUGGCUCAGAUUGAACGCUGGCGGCAGGCCUAACACAUGCAAGUCGAGCGGCAGCGGGAAAGUAGCUUGCUACUUUUGCCGGCGAGCGGCGGACGGGUGAGUAAUGCCUGGGAA
Molecule: ribosomal RNA, 132 nt
Filed under: Aeromonas hydrophila
Lineage: Bacteria; Pseudomonadati; Pseudomonadota; Gammaproteobacteria; Aeromonadales; Aeromonadaceae
Also listed under: 4 other names
Description: partial 16S ribosomal RNA
Rfam family: Bacterial small subunit ribosomal RNA
Source: RNAcentral